This 539-nucleotide ribosomal RNA is filed under the name Aplodontia rufa (mountain beaver). RNAcentral describes it as "partial 16S ribosomal RNA". It matches the Rfam family "Bacterial large subunit ribosomal RNA", at positions 1818 to 2594 of the family's 2925-position model. The record is from RNAcentral. Lineage: Eukaryota; Metazoa; Chordata; Mammalia; Rodentia; Aplodontiidae.
ACCUCUAGCAUAAGUAGUAUUAGAGGCACUGCCUGCCCAGUGACAUACGUUAAACGGCCGCGGUAUCCUGACCGUGCAAAGGUAGCAUAAUCACUUGUUCUUUAAAUAAGGACUUGUAUGAAUGGCUAGACGAGGGUUUAACUGUCUCUUACUUAUAAUCAGUGAAAUUGACCUUCUCGUGAAGAGGCGAGAAUAAUAAAAUAAGACGAGAAGACCCUAUGGAGCUUAAAUCAAUUAGCUUAAGUUAGCUCUCUUUUCCUCAAUAGAGACAAAAAACAACCUAUGAGCUAAAAAUUUUGGUUGGGGUGACCUCGGAAAAUAAAGUAACUUCCGAAUGAUUCUAAUUAAGACUAACCAGUCUAAGUUACUACUCAUUAAUUGACCCAAUACUUGAUCAACGGAACAAGUUACCCUAGGGAUAACAGCGCAAUCCUAUUCAAGAGUUCCUAUCGACAAUAGGGUUUACGACCUCGAUGUUGGAUCAGGACAUCCAAAUGGUGCAACCGCUAUUAAAGGUUCGUUUGUUCAACGAUUAAAGU